Molecule: long non-coding RNA, 537 nt
Organism: Gallus gallus (chicken)
Lineage: Eukaryota; Metazoa; Chordata; Aves; Galliformes; Phasianidae
Source: Ensembl
AGUAACCAGAAAAUUUAGGCAUUUGGAUUUGAAAAGAAGUUAUCUGCUGAAAUUCAAAGACAAAUUUCCAUAUGUUACAAAAUUGAAAUCAAAAUUCCAUAAGGCACUCGCUCCAUCCCUCCAGCCAUCAUCCCAAAAGCAAAGGGGUUCAGUUUGUUCAGGUGGAGCUCGCUUUCUCCACCCCCAGUGCCAGCAAAUCUGUUUGGUGUGGGAGGACGGUGGAGCAUGCCGCCCACAGCCACCUGCUCUGCCGGAGGGCCCGCAGCCUUGCCAGCACUGUGCCAAGGCACCAGCUCGGGGUGGGAGUCUGCAGGAGGCACGGAUCAGCUGGGAGGUGUGCUGCUCUGCUUCUCCCUUGCUUGCGGGUGACCUUUGCUGAUAAAGAUAUAUUUGGAUUUUAAAAAAUGACUCCACGGUGUCUCCCCAUUUCCUAGUUGAGCAUACAUUAGUGGAUCACAAACCAUUCCCAUGAAGUGACAUGUCACCUUGAGCUGUUUGAAGAGGUCUGGAAGCAUCAUCUGACACUCUCAUCCCCAA